UGGGGAAUAUUGGACAAUGGGCGCAAGCCUGAUCCAGCCAUGCCGCGUGAGUGAUGAAGGCCCUAGGGUUGUAAAGCUCUUUUGCCCGGGAAGAUAAUGACGGUACCCGCAGAAGAAGCCCCGGCUAACUUCGUGCCAGCAGCCGCGGUAAUACGAAGGGGGCUAGCGUUGCUCGGAAUCACUGGGCGUAAAGCGCACGUAGGCGGGUUGUUAAGUCGGGGGUGAAAUCCUGGAGCUCAACUCCAGAACUGCCCUCGAUACUGGCGAUCUUGAGUCCGGGAGAGGUGAGUGGAACUGCGAGUGUAGAGGUGAAAUUCGUAGAUAUUCGCAAGAACACCAGUGGCGAAGGCGGCUCACUGGCCCGGUACUGACGCUGAUGUGCGAAAGCGUGGGGAGCAAACAGGAUUAGAUACCCCCGUAGUCC
RNAcentral lists this ribosomal RNA (424 nucleotides) under uncultured bacterium. RNAcentral's name for it is "bacterial SSU rRNA". It matches the Rfam family "Bacterial small subunit ribosomal RNA", at positions 355 to 796 of the family's 1533-position model. The record is from RNAcentral.